Long non-coding RNA from Trachymyrmex cornetzi, 109 nucleotides. RefSeq lists it as uncharacterized. NCBI's taxonomy places the organism in Eukaryota, Metazoa, Arthropoda, Insecta, Hymenoptera, Formicidae. The record is from RefSeq and is a predicted model, not a curated record. The transcript is spliced from 3 exons.
UUCAAUGAUGUAAAAGAUUGUGAGAAGAAACAGCGAAAGAGAGCGAGUACAAUAAGUCUUAGCGAUCUGAAAGUGAUACUUGAAGAAAUAGAAAAAGCAAAAAAGGUCA